AAAGUGAAUAGUGAAACCUGGUGGCUCAACCAUACAGACUAUUAUUCAAACUCACUGACUCGAGAGUAGCAGAGGUAACUGGAAUUUCUUGUGUAGGAGUGAAAUCCGUAGAUAUAAGAAGGAACACCAAUGGCGUAGGCAGGUUACUGGGCUAUUUCUGACACUGAGGCACGAAAGCGUGGGGAGCGAACCGGAUUAGAUACCCGGGUAGUCCACGCCGUAAACUAUGGAUACUA
Molecule: ribosomal RNA, 236 nt
Filed under: uncultured Candidatus Saccharibacteria bacterium
Lineage: Bacteria; Candidatus Saccharimonadota
Description: partial 16S ribosomal RNA
Rfam family: Bacterial small subunit ribosomal RNA
Source: RNAcentral